Molecule: long non-coding RNA, 1958 nt
Organism: Columba livia (rock pigeon)
Lineage: Eukaryota; Metazoa; Chordata; Aves; Columbiformes; Columbidae
Exons: 3
Source: RefSeq, a predicted model, not a curated record
UUUUGCAGGAUGCUGCUUUUGCCACAAAGAGUUCAAACGAAACAAAAGGGUUACCAGGCCUUGGGAAGUCAAGGAGCAGCUGGCCCAUGAUAAUGACACCUGGAAGAAGAAAGACUUUGCUCAAGGAGAUCAUAGUCAUAUAUAAUUCUACCUCAAUUUCUCAGCCCUUCCUGAGCGUUUUUGGACCCUCUUGGACCCUCACUGCUCAUUUCCAGCAUCUUCAAACUGUUGGGGACCCAGAGCUGCACUUAGCAGAGGGAGCUUGGCUACUUAAAUGAAUGUGUCUUUCCAAAUGGGAACAUAAUGUUGAAUGCUGAUGUUUCCCCUGAAAUUAAAUCCCAUCCCUUCCAGAGUAGCUUUGGCUCCAUUAAAUGGCUUUUUGAUAUAUAUAGGAAAUUGAAAUUUUGAUUGGAUUUCAAUGUAUAUAAUAUUAUGUCUUGAUUUAUAAUGGGGCAUAAAAUGGAAGCAAUUAAAGCAACUAGAGAGAAAAAAUUCCCCUUGAAAGGAAACAAAAAAUACUCAAUUGGCUGCAUAUUGGGGAACAACUUCUAAUUGAAGGUGUUGGAAGACAAUGCAAUGUUCCAUUUUGACACCUCUGCCGCCAAAGGUGCUGAUAAAACUUCAUAUUGAGAGUUGGAUCAGCAUUUUCCAGUGGAAGAACUAUUUGGGGAGGAAGAUUUCCCCACCAGCUGCACCCGGUAUCUCCCAGCAGCAAAGGGGAUGCUCUGGGAUGCCUUCCUCCUCCUCCUCCUCUGCCUGAAGACACAUUAUAGCACAUUAAUAUCUCUCCGGUGGCAAAGCUGAGCCUCCGGCAUCCAAAUCAGGCUGGUGAUGGAGGGAGACGCUUCCCGGGGGCACAGAGGUUCUUCUCAGCCCAAAUCAGCCCAGAGCUUUCAGACCGAGUGACAUCUACAGAUUUUAUUACAGAAGGGGAAUAUUGGAUUUGCAGUGGUGUUUUUCAGCCAUCAGAGCCUGUCCCGCUCGCUCUGACAUUCCCGGCUUCUCUGCAAUAACUUCAGAUCUAUCAACCCCGUCUCCAGGGCUCUGUUUAUCAGCCGGGGGUUGAAGAUGUUGGUGUUAGCAGUGACUCUCAUGGUACCUGCUCGGUGUGCAAAUGGAGCCGGAGGGACCGCGGGGGCCUCCAGCUCCGUCCUCAUGCGCCAUCGCCUCGCUGCAUGACCCUGAGCAAGCUACAGUGGCUUUUCAUUCUAAAAAUUGCCAGCGCAGCUCCCAACUGAAAUUCCCCAAUGAAGGCCGUUUUCAUGGGAUUACCAUUCGCAGAAUAAUUAACAGGAAGAUUCUCACAAAUUAAGAAGUCAUCCUUUCAUUGCUAUAGCAACCCUGAUUGUCCUUCCUCGAGUGGCUGAACCGAGAAAACAAGAACAAAUACAAUCUAAAAUAUAAUUGCUAACCAGCCGCCAAAGGAGCAAAGCUGGGAGAAAUUCAAAACCAAAGGAGAAGAACCCAUGACGCUCUGUUCCGUCUGCACUUGACUCUUCCAGAUCUCUGCUUUGGUUUCUCUGCUUGUUUCCCGUCUACAGCAGGACAGAGAGUUCAUUCCAGAAGAUGACAGAGGGAUCUGUUUUCCCUGAUUUAAUGACAUCAGAGGGGAAAAACAUAAGAAAUGCUGAGCACUCUCUGUCUGUGGGUGUGAGCUUUGCCGGCCUGGCUGGUGAUGAGGCUUUUACCGGGUUUGUAGAGACACGAGUGACUCACUGACUUGGCAGAGCAUUUAAGAUGAAUUAUCUGAUCAGUGGAAAAGCGUUUUCAGGUCAGCCAGAGCUAUUUGUAGUGAAGCUGGUGAGUGAUAUCUGGGCGAAAAAAAAAAGGCUGCCAGAAGAAUUAAAUGAAAAAACAUCAACCUUGUGUCAUGACAACAAAAAAAAUCCAAACAAGCCAAAACACUGGGAAUUUUUUGUGUGUUUUGUGAUGAAUAAUUAAAGCUACAUCAGCCUAAA